AAGGAGCAUCAACUGGCCGGGGUCGCCUCGUGAGAGGGAUCUGGGUCGGUGGCCGCCGUUGACAGCGAAUGUCUGUCAGGUGGCUGCUCAUAGAUGUGGAGCACUGGUUAUUCACUAGGCCGCUCAUGCGGCCCGGCUAGUACCGUCCUGCAGCUUCGGCUGGAGGGAAUGGGAACGGCGGGUUCGGGUGGUUGGUCUGGUGGACACGCUGUUGGGUCCUGAGGGAACGGGCGCGAGCUCGGGUGACCUCGGACUACGGGACCAGGACCGCAUCAUCUUCGGGUGGUGUGGUUUUGGUGGGCCCGGUUGUUUUUUGAGAACUGCACAGUGGACGCGAGCAUCUCUGGUAGAUGAUGAGAGCCGCCUGGAGAGGGACCCUGCCUUUUGGUGAGGGUUCUUUGAGGGUUGUUUUGUUGUUUAUCUGCGAUUUGUUCUGAUCGUUUUGU
RNAcentral lists this unclassified non-coding RNA (446 nucleotides) under Actinomadura citrea. RNAcentral's name for it is "partial 16S-23S ribosomal RNA intergenic spacer region". Lineage: Bacteria; Bacillati; Actinomycetota; Actinomycetes; Streptosporangiales; Thermomonosporaceae. The record is from RNAcentral.